Molecule: transfer RNA, 66 nt
Filed under: Bayerotrochus teramachii
Lineage: Eukaryota; Metazoa; Mollusca; Gastropoda; Pleurotomariida; Pleurotomariidae
Description: tRNA-His
Source: RNAcentral
UCUGAGUUAGUUUAAAUAAAAAUGUUAGGAUGUGGAUCUAGAGAAAAGAUUGGUUCUUACUCGGUA